UGAAUCAGCAGGACUUGAGGAACUCAACCUGAAGGCAGGUGCUGAGCUGCAGGAACUGACACAGCCCCACAGCAGUGCCACCAGCCCUGAGAUAAUGCACUCCUGAUAUCCCUGAGAUGGGAGAGACAAGCAAGGAGCAAGAGAUCAAAGCAAGGAGAAGAAAGAGGAGAUGCUAAAGGCAGGAGAAGAAAGAGGGGAAGAUGCCAAACAUUUCCUUGAUCUACCUACUUUCCAUACCCGGUACCGAGUGUCAGAAAUCCUUCCUUUUGAGAUCCCUUUCCUGUGGUGUUUAUAAGGAAAUCUUGAAACCUAAGAAGAGCAGCCAAGGAUAAUAACACUGAAUAUAGAGAUGCAGGAAAUAUGUGAACACAACAGCAGCUUUCCUUUGAAAUGGGAUGUGUAAGAUGAAGGCAAAUCCAACAUUAAUGCAGCAUUCCUGCCAGAAAACCAGCAGUCACUCCUGCAUUUCA
This 470-nucleotide long non-coding RNA is filed under the name Serinus canaria (Common canary). RNAcentral describes it as "lncRNA (ENSSCAG00000006919.1)". Lineage: Eukaryota; Metazoa; Chordata; Aves; Passeriformes; Fringillidae. The record is from RNAcentral.